This 478-nucleotide ribosomal RNA is filed under the name Heniochus singularius (singular bannerfish). Its description in RNAcentral is "partial small subunit ribosomal RNA". It matches the Rfam family "Bacterial small subunit ribosomal RNA", at positions 788 to 1491 of the family's 1533-position model. Lineage: Eukaryota; Metazoa; Chordata; Actinopteri; Chaetodontiformes; Chaetodontidae. The record is from RNAcentral.
CACUAUGCCUAGCCCUAAACAUUGGCAGUACGCUACAUCUACUGUCCGCCUGGGAACUACGAGCACCAGCUUAAAACCCAAAGGACUUGGCGGUGCUUCAGACCCACCUAGAGGAGCCUGUCCUAGAACCGAUAAUCCCCGUUAAACCUCACCCUUCCUUGUUCUUUUCAGCCUAUAUACCACCGUCGUCAGCUUACCCUGUGAAGGCCCAAUAGUAAGCGAGAUCGGCACUGCCCCAAACGUCAGGUCGAGGUGUAGCCUAUGGAGGGGGAUGAGAUGGGCUACAUUCACUGGUACAGUGAAUACGGAUGAUCACUCUGAAAUGGGUAUCUGAAGGAGGAUUUAGCAGUAAGCAAAAAAUAGAGUGUUUUGCUGAAGUUGGCCCUGAAGCGUGCACACACCGCCCGUCACUCUCCCCAAAACUUAGCCCGGAUAUAUAACUAAUACCCCACAAAAACUAAGGGGAGGCAAGUCGUAA